GACGGGGGAGAUAUUUCUUUUAAAAAUUCAUUAGUCUUUUAUUAGCCUUCUGCAUAAUCUCUGCUAUUAAGGCACUCAACUACAGUUAAAUUAAAAUAAGAUAAAUUAUAUUUAAAUUAUAAUAAUGAAAUUUAUACUGAAAAGAAAAAACGGCUUUAAAAAAAGCUAAAAAUUUGUCGUUUAUAAUACAUGAAAAAUAAAACUUCUUUUUGCUUACAGGAGAAAAAAAUGUCAAUUAAAUAUUUAUAAUAAAAUUAAAUAAUAAAAACUCAUUUUCUUUUCAGAAAAGUUUGAAAAUUUCUUUUGAUAAAAAUAUAUCCGUUUUGCCAACGAUUAAGGGGCAGAUAAUAACCUAUAAUAAAUAUUUGCAAUAUCAGAGUUAGUUCCCCUCCACCAUAAUUUUAUUUUCUGUCUUUAUUAUUAUUUUUUUUUCAUUCUGAAGAAAAAAAAAAUCGAUUUUAUUCGAUAAUCGUUUUUAAAAAUUCGUCGAUAUUACUUGAGGAUUUGAUCCAGCACUCGAUGCUGUUUUGGAAUCACGUAUACAUAUAUAUAUAUGCGAAUUAUGUAUGUAUAUAUGUAUAUAUAUAUAUGCACAUAUCUAUGUAUAUGUGUGUGUGCUUGUAUGUAAUAUAUAUAUAUAUGUGUGUGUGUGUGUGUGUGUGUAUGUAUAUAUGCGUGUUUGGUCAUGGAAACCGACAGGUGACAAUAAACGUGCAAAAUUUAUGGAUCGAGUAUUUUUUUAGUCCUUGAUUAUAAAGUCACACACAACGCACGAAUGCGCAUGUGCAAGAGAGCACACACGCACGCGAACGAGCGUGCGCGCACACCCACCCACUGACAAACGUAUAUUUGUACGCGCAGGUUUAAUAGCAUGGUCACUGCUUUUGGUCUCAAACUAGCCGAGGUCAAAGUACGUAUACACACACACACACACACACACACACACACACACACAUAUAUAUAUCAUUUUAUAGUGUCCGUGAAGAGUCAUUCUGUUUCAAUGCCUUAUUAAUUAACACACGCACUGGUUCGAUUUCCACUCGUAUACUUAUUUAUUUUUUUCCAAAAUUUUCGUUCCUUCUUGCAACCUCUUCAAUAGUCGUUGAUUCUCUUAUUGAAAAGGUUGCAAGAAGCAACGAAAAUUUUAGAAAAAAUAAACAAGUCAAUGAGUGGAAAUCGAACCAGUGCGUGUGUUAAUUAAUAAGGCAUUAAAACAGAAUGACUCUCCCCAGACACAAUAAAAUAUGCUUCAACACACGAAUUCACAUAAAGAAUCUUGUAAACCAAACACAAAAACUAUAUAUAUAUAUAUAUAUAUAUAUAUAUAUAUAUAUAUAUACACACUUUAUUUAAAAGCAGCAGAAAUUCAACAAAACCUGUUACUCUGAGUUUUAUUUUCCCGUUCGUCGGACAGUUUUUGUAAACUGUCCGACGAACGGGAACGUGAAACUCCGAGUAACAGGUUUUGUUGAAUUUCUGCUGCUUUUAAAUAAAGCAUAUUACUCUACCCCUGGUAUUUGAGUACUCUUUUUUCCACCUUGUUUCACAUUUAUGUGUUUGCUUUGGUAUAUAUAUAUAUAUAUAUAUGCACAUAUAUACAUAUAGACAAGCAUGCAUUUACAUACUGGCAGGCACUGAGAUUCAGAUAUUUGAAUUGAAUGAGUGUAAAACGUGCAUAUAUACUUUGCUGCAGCUAAUGUGUAUAUAUAUGUAUGUAUGUAUGUAUGUAUACAUACGAGGGGAACAGCUACUUUUGAUAAAUCUCGAGUUGCGCAUGAGAAAGUAAGGAGGGAUGUCAGGAAGGGCAUCACUGUUGCACUUCCUGAUGGGGUCUUCCUAUGAUGCUGAUAUGCAGUGUCUGCGCAAGACCCUGCCUCAGUAAAGCUGGACUCAUGAGUCAUCUUCGUAGUCAUAAAGCAAGACCGAUGAUUGCCAGCCAGGCCACUGGUGGUGGUGCUACACACCAUACUAGUCAUAUCUGUCGGGCAUGUGGAAGAGAGUGUAAUUCGGCAGGAGGACUUAAACGACAUGCAAAGGUACAUGAAGCCCAGUUACAACUACAGCCGGCUAUUACCAGUAAAGGUUUUAGUUGCCAGUUUUGUACAAGACAUUGUAGAUCUUUAGCUGGGCUAAAAAGUCACAUUUGAUCACAGCACCAAUAACAGUUAAGCCUCGUGCAAUGGCCAUACUCGAUAACGAAGGGGGCAGCCAUCAUGUACAUGCAUGCAUACAUACAUACAUACAUACAAACAUUCAUACAAACAUACAAACAUACAUACAUAUAAUAUAUAUAUAUAAUAUACAUAUAUAUGUAUAUACAUAUAUAAAUGCAUAUAUAUGUAUAUACAGUAGAUUUGCUCAAUGAAAUGGCUUGCUCAUGAAAUUAACACGCAAGUGGCUGAGCGCUCCACAGACACACAUACCCUUAACGUAGCUUUUCGGGAGAUUCAGCAUGAUGCAGAACGCGACGAGUGGCCCCUUUGAAUUACAAGGUCCAACUCAAUUUUUGUCUAGCUGAGUUGGAAUUGAAGCAACGUGAAAUAAAGUGUCUUGCUCAAGGACAAAACACUUGACUGGGAUUUGAACUCAUGGCUUUAUGAUUGAGCCGAAUACACAAACCACUAGGCUAUACAUCUUCACAUGUAUAUAUAUGUAUACAUUUUUUUUUACUUGUUUCAGUCAUUUGACUGCGGCCAUGCUUGAGCAACACCUUUAGUCGAACAAAUCAGACCCCAGGAAUUAUUCUUUGUAAGCCUAGGACUUAUUCUAUCCGUCUCUUUUUGCUGAACCGCUACGUUACGGGGGACAUAAAAACACCAACAUCAGAUGUCAAGCAAUGGUGGGUGGACAAACACAGAGAUACACACACAUAUAUAUAUAUAUAUAUAUAUUUAUAUAUACACACAUGUACAUAUAUACAACAGGCUUGUUUCAGUUUCUGUCUACCAAAUCCACUCACAAGGAUUUGGUCGGCCCGAGUCCAUAGUAGAGGACACUUGCCCAAGGUGCCAUGCAGUGGGACUGAACCCGGAACCCUGUGGCUGAGAAGCAGGCAUCUUACCACACAGCCACAUAUGCGUUGGCGCAAACAGAAAAACCAGAAUGCAAAAUAUGGAUAUAUUUUUAAUAAUAUUUAGCAAAAGUAACAAAGUGAUUCACAAUCAAAGGUUUCGUGCAUUGGCAUUUAACAAACUGGUUUGAUAAUUGGCAAUACAUGAAGCUCUCACUCCUUGAGUCACUCUGUUACUUCUGCUAAAUAUUAAUAAAAUAAAUAUAUAUCACCAUGAUAGAUCGUUAGCUCCUACACGCAUUUUUUUCUCCCCUUGUUUCUUUUCUGUGUAUCUUUCUGUUGAAGAGCAUAGACUCGAAACGUAAACGACUUGUUCUAUUUCUAUUCCUGAGCGCCAUACUAAUACAACUGUUUGUUUGUACUCCACCUGCCUUCGUCUUU
This 3451-nucleotide long non-coding RNA is filed under the name Octopus vulgaris (common octopus). Lineage: Eukaryota; Metazoa; Mollusca; Cephalopoda; Octopoda; Octopodidae. The record is from RNAcentral.